RNAcentral lists this ribosomal RNA (253 nucleotides) under uncultured bacterium. RNAcentral's name for it is "partial 16S ribosomal RNA". It matches the Rfam family "Bacterial small subunit ribosomal RNA", at positions 524 to 776 of the family's 1533-position model. The record is from RNAcentral.
UACGUAGGUGGCAAGCGUUGUCCGGAUUUAUUGGGUUUAAAGGGUGCGUAGGCGGCCCCGUAAGUCAGUGCUGAAAUACCCCGGCUUAACCGGGGGGGUGGCAUUGAUACUGCAGGGCUUGAGUACAGAUGAGGUAGGCGGAAUUGACGGUGUAGCGGUGAAAUGCAUAGAUAUCGUCAAGAACACCGAUAGCGAAGGCAGCUUACUGGGCUGUAACUGACGCUGAUGCACGAAAGUGUGGGGAUCAAACAGG